Molecule: small RNA, 16 nt
Filed under: Arabidopsis thaliana (thale cress)
Lineage: Eukaryota; Viridiplantae; Streptophyta; Magnoliopsida; Brassicales; Brassicaceae
Description: ATSL137640
Source: RNAcentral
AAGGACAGAUUGCUAA